RNA transcript from Acanthisitta chloris (rifleman), 871 nucleotides. It is a transcript of the gene named cytoplasmic phosphatidylinositol transfer protein 1-like, with no coding region annotated. The transcript has 8 exons. Lineage: Eukaryota; Metazoa; Chordata; Aves; Passeriformes; Acanthisittidae. The record is from RefSeq and is a predicted model, not a curated record.
UACAGGAUUGGACAGCUGUACAUGAUCAGCAAACACAGCCAUGAGCAGAGUGACCGAGGUGAGGGGGUGGAGGUGGUGCAGAACGAACCCUACGAAGAUCCCAACCAUGGCAAUGGGCAGCUCACAGAAAAACGUGUCUAUCUCAACAGCAAACUUCCUAGCUGGGCUAGAGCAGUUGUUCCCAAAAUAUUUUAUGUUACAGAGAAGGCCUGGAAUUAUUAUCCUUACACAAUCACAGAAUACACAUGUUCCUUUUUGCCCAAAUUCUCCAUUCAUAUAGAGACAAAGUAUGAGGACAACAAAGGAAGCAACGACAGUAUUUUUGACAAAGAAGCUAAAGACCUGGAGCGAGAAGUUUGCUUCAUCGACAUUGCCAGUGAUGAGAUUCCUGAGCGCUAUUACAAGGAGUCAGAGGAUCCCAAAUAUUUCAAGUCACAGAAGACUGGGAGAGGCCAAUUGAAAGAAGGCUGGAGAGAGACCCACCAGCCCAUUAUGUGUUCCUACAAACUUGUGACUGUGAAGUUUGAAGUCUGGGGACUUCAAACCAGAGUAGAGCAAUUUGUACACAAGGUGGUCAGAGACAUCCUCCUGAUCGGGCACCGGCAGGCGUUCGCCUGGGUGGAUGAGUGGUAUGAUAUGACUAUGGAUGAUGUUCGAGAAUACGAGAAAAAUAUGCAUGAAAAAACCAACAUUAAAGUUUGCAACCAACAUUCAUCUCCUGUGGAUGAAAUAGAGAGCCAUGCCCAAGCAAGAGUAUGUCCAUUUUAAACAUAUUGCCCAUCCUCAGCUAUGCACCUGCACAGAACAGAGAAGAGCAACCAGCUGACCUUGCUGACCUUGCUGGAAUUUUUGGGAGGUUUUGCUUCAGUAG